CAGAUUUUGAUUUGAACAGUGGAAGUUUUUACUGUUUUAUUGAACUGAAAAAUAUCGUUGAUUGCUUACACAUUUCAGCAAUCUUUACACGUUUAAAUAGACUUGAAACAAACUGAAAUUGCUGGUUUGUAGCACUACAAUGUGCCACGUUCAGCUGACCACUAACAUAAAUGUACCAUGUUCAGCUAACAACAUAACUGACUCCUAAAGACUAGUUCACGUCCUGAAGACCAGCUCUAGUCUUUUAUUUCAGCAGAAUUAAAAUAACAAAGACAGACAAUACUAAAAUAAAACAAAGGCAGCAACUUAAGGCAUAACUCCAACACUCCUCCUUGCAUUAAGGGCUGCAUACUCCUAUCAGCUUUGUGAGAAAUUCGAACCUGUUAGCAGGAAGUGCUUUGGUAAACAAAUCAGCCAUUUGAUCUUCAGUCCUACAAUAAAGUAGCUUAACAUCUCCAUUCUUCUGCACCUCUCGGAUAAAAUAUAUUUUGAUGUUGAAAUGUUUGGUUUUCCCAUGAAACACAGGAUUGUUAGAGAUUGCUAUAGCUGCUUGAUUGUCAACUGAGAUUUCAGUUGCUUCUUCCUCUUCCAUAUGUAGAUCACGCAGUAACUUUUGAAGCCAUAAAGCUUGGUUAACUGCAGCUGUGGCAGCAAUGAACUCUGCCUCUGCAGUUGAUUGUGCAACAAUGCUUUGCUUCUUGGAUGACCAUGAAAAUAUUGCUGAGCCUAGAUUGAAACAAAAACCAGAAGUGCUUUUCAUGUCAUCAAUGAAUCCACCCCAAUCACUGUCAGAAAAGCCAUGCAAUUUCAGUGUUUUACAUUGCAUAAAUUUAACACCAAAACUGCAUGUUCCUUUGAUGUAUCGCAGGAUACGUUUGGCUGCCCUCAUAUGUAGCUCACUGGACAAUGCAUAAACCUUGAUAGAAGGUUUGUUGCAUAAAAAAUGUCAGGUCGGGUUGCUGUCAAAUACAGCAAGCAAUCAAUCAAGCUUCUGUACUUUUCUUCAUUUACCCUGGCAGUCUCAUCCUCUUUGCUGAAUUUAUCCUUCUGAUUCAUUGGAGUAGCAGUUGGUUUACAAUUCUCCAUUUGGAAUUUCUUCAAAAUCUCCUUCGUAUAUUUUUCUUGACCAAUGAAGAUCACUCCUCUGCUUUGUUUAAUCUCCAUGCCAAGAAAAAAACUCAUGAGUCCAAGGUCACUCAUUUCGAAAGCUUGCAUCAUGUCCUGGUUGAACCUUUCAAUUUGCUGCAAAUUACUUCCAGUUACAAGUAAAUCAUCAACAUAGAGGGACACGAUAAGAACAUCAUCAUCAAUUUUCUUCACAUAGAGGGUUAAUUCAGAAAGACUUUUCUGAAAUCCAAACCCUGUCAAGUAGUCAUCAAUUCGGCCAUACCAAGCCCUUGGUGCCUGUUGUUGUCCAUAAAGUGCCUUCUUCAGCAUGUACACCUUGUCUUCUUCUCCUUGAACAACAAAUCCAGCAGGUUGUUCAACAUAAAUUUCUUCUUGUAAAUCGCCAUUAAGGAAGGCUGAUUUUACGUCCAUCUGGAACACUUUCCAGUUUUUGUGUGCAGCAACAGCAAGCAACAAUCUGAUGGUGUCCAUCCUUGCUACUGGAGCGAAUGUGUCUGAAUAAUCCACCCCAUACACUUGAGCAUACCCCUUGACAACCAGCCUUGCCUUGAAUUUGUUGAUGGAGCUGUCAGCAUUCAGUUUGGUCCUGAAAAUCCACUUGACGCCAAUAAUGUUCUUGUCUGCAGGUCGAUCAACAAGUUCCCACGUAUGAUUCUUUUCAAUCAUGUGUAUUUCCUCCUUCAUUGCUUCCUGCCAUGCUGGAUUCAUCUGCGCAUCUUCAUAAUUUUCUGGUUCACAAACAGCCACAUUGCUCCUUUGAUAGAUUUCUUCAAGUGAUCUGGUGCCUCGUACUGGUGAUUCAUCAAUUGAUUCAUUUUGCAGGGGAGUAAUAAUUUGAUCAUCAAGCACCGUGAUCUCUUGUGUUUCAUCCCAGUUCCAUUUGUCGUCUUCAUGGAACUGCACAUCCCGUGUAAUUGUAAUCUUCUGGGUUUGAGGGAGGUAUACUUUAUAGGCUUUAGAAAUUGUGCUAUAGCCAACAAAGAUACCUUGCAUUGCCUUCUUGUCCAGCUUGUCCCUCUUAAUCUGUGGAAUGUGAACAAAACAUGUGCUGCCAAAAACCUUAAGAAAACUAAGUGAGGGUUUGUACUUAUACCACACUUCAAAAGGAGUUUUUUCUGCCAAAAGCUUUGUUGGGAGACGAUUUUGCAGGAAUACUGCUGUGUUAGCAGCUUCUGCCCAAAAAAAUUUAGGCAAGUUCUUCUCAUGUAGCAUGCAUCUAGCCAUCUCCAUUAUGUAUCGAUUUCUUCUCUCACUAACCCCAUUCUGCUCUGGAGUGUAAGGGGCUGUGAGUUGAUGCUCAAUGCCAGCUUCUUCACAAUAAAGAUUGAAUUCUGUUGAUGUGUAUUCUCUGCCAUUGUCUGAACGAAUUGCUUGAAUUCUGCAGUUGCUUUGAUUCUCCACAUUCUUCUUGAAUCUCCAGAAAAUUCCAGCCACCUCGGAUUUGAAUUUCAUGAAAUAAAUCCAGCACAUUCGAGAGAAAUCGUCAAUAAACAGCAGGUAAUAUUUACUGCCAUUUAAUGAUGGUGUGCUUAGAGGACCAGCCACAUCGGUAUGAAUCAGCUGCAGCUUUUGGGAUGAUCUCCAAGUUGAUCUCGGAAAUGAUUUUCUAUUCUGCUUACCAAACUGACAAGCAUGACAGUUCAAUGUAAUUUCAGUAAAUGGAGGUAUACCUCUGACAGCCUCAGAAUUCUUCAUGGUAAGCAUCCUUUGUUGAUGGCAGUGUCCCAACCUUUUGUGCCAUAACUUAGUAUAAUUGAGUUUUGUUGGGAAAGCAUUAUGCUCCUCCUCAAAUGGCAGAAAUGAGAAACUUUUGCUCUUCAUUCUAACUUGUAGAAUUUUACACCCAGCAGCAUAAAAAAUACAGCAAUGUUGAUUUUCAAAAAUCACCUUCAUUCCUUUCUCAAUUAAUUGCCCCACACUCAACAAAUUCUGAUCUAUAUUAGGCACAUAAAGAACAUCUGCAAUUGUUUUUGUACCUGAAUUUGUUGUGAUGGCAAUUGUUCCCUUUCCCUUUGCUUCAAUGCAUUCACCAUUUCCAAUUCUGACUUUUGCAGCUUUUGUAGGCUGCAAAUUUCGGAAAAGACUUUUAUCAAAAGUCAUGUGGUUGGUGCAACCACUAUCAAUUAGCCAAUGGUCUGAGGUGGUUUGAACCGGAAGCAUGCAGCCACAAACAUCUGAUCCUCAUCAUCUUGGUUCACGACUUGAGCAUCUUCUUCUUGUUUUUGAUUUUUGAAUCUGCAUAUUAUUGCCUCAUGUCCUAGUUGAUUGCACUUGUUGCACCUUGCAUCAGGCCUCUUCCAGCAUUUGAAUGGUGGGUGACCACUCUUGUUGCAGUGUUGACAAGGUGGAAAAUUCCUUUUAAUAAAUUUUCCUUUGUUGUAACCUUGAUUUGGUUUAAUGCUGCCUGAAGCUGCGUUCUUCCUGAAGAACUUCUUCUUGUCAUAGUCUGCAAAUUUUGCUUGCAAAGCACCUUCAAUUGCAUGAUCCUGCCUCAUAAGCCUUCUCUGCUCCUGAGCUUGUAAGGCAUUUAGCAACUCUGUCAAUGUAAUUUUUGACAGGUCUUUAGUAUUCUCCAAUGUUGUAACUGAAGCUUCAUACUUUUCUGGUACUGUGACCAGAAGUUUUUCAACAAUUCUGGAAUCUGCAAAUGAUGUUCCCAGCAGCCUAACUCUGUUAGCAAUCCCCAUCAAUUUGUCUGAGUACUCCUUUAUAGUCUCAGAAUCCUUCAUCCUUUGCAGCUCAAAUUCACGUAUCAAGUUUAAGCUUUGCAUUCCACGAAUUCUUUCAUCUCCUGCAUAUUCCUUCUUCAAGUAAUCCCAAACAUCCUUUGCUGAUUGAAGUGACAUGAUCCUGGUGAAAAUGGUUGUGGAAACAGCAGCAAACAGACAUGCCUUCGCCUUCGAUUUCUUGGUCUUUCUCUCCUUAUGACUUUUGAUCUGAGUCAUAGUUGGAUUAUUAGGCAGUGGUGGCACCUCAUAAUCCUCUUCAACAGCUUCCUACAAAUCUAAGGCUUCUAGGUGAGUUUCCAUUCUUACUGCCCAUAGUUGAAAAUUCUCUCCAUUGAAGAUUGGAGGAGAAAUAUGGGUGAAACUUGAUUCAGAAUCCAUCACAGGCCCUUCAAGAAAAUUGCUUUGAUACCAAUUGAAAGAGUUUGAAGAGAUUGAAAAAAAGAAGUGAAAAACAGAAUGCAGAUUUUGAUUUGAACAGUGGAAGUUUUUACUGUUUUAUUGAACUGAAAAAUAUCGUUGAUUGCUUACACAUUUCAGCAAUCUUUACACGUUUAAAUAAACUUGAAACAAACUGAAAUUGCUGGUUUGUAGCACUACAAUGUGCCACGUUCAGCUGACCACUAACAUGACCACUAACAUAAAUGUACCAUGUUCAGCUAACAACAUAAUUGACUCCUAA
This 4536-nucleotide long non-coding RNA is filed under the name Populus trichocarpa (black cottonwood). RNAcentral describes it as "long non-coding RNA (PTRI_LNC002733)". Lineage: Eukaryota; Viridiplantae; Streptophyta; Magnoliopsida; Malpighiales; Salicaceae. The record is from RNAcentral.